GAUGAACGCUAGCGAUAGGCUUAACACAUGCAAGUCGAGGGGCAGCACAAGGUAGCUUGCUAUCUGGGUGGCGACCGGCGCACGGGUGCGUAACGCGUAUGCAACUUGCCCUAUACAGGAGGAUAACCCGUCGAAAGACGGACUAAUACUGCGUAUGCUCACAACUUGGCAUCAAGUGGUGAGGAAAGAAAUUCGGUAUAGGAUAGGCAUGCGUCCCAUUAGCUUGUUGGUGAGGUAACGGCUCACCAAGGCAACGAUGGGUAGGGGAACUGAGAGGUUUAUCCCCCACAAUGGUACUGAGACACGGACCAGACUGCUACGGGAGGCAGCAGUGAGGAAUAUUGGUGAAUGGGGGCGAGCCUGAACCAGCCAAGUCGCGUGAAGGAGGACUGUCUUAUGGAUUGUAAGCUUCUUUUAUACGGGAAUAGCAAGAGUAACGUGUGACUCCCUGCAUGUACCGUAUGAAUAAGCAUCGGCUAACUCCGUG
This 487-nucleotide ribosomal RNA is filed under the name uncultured bacterium. RNAcentral describes it as "partial 16S ribosomal RNA". It matches the Rfam family "Bacterial small subunit ribosomal RNA", at positions 28 to 507 of the family's 1533-position model. The record is from RNAcentral.